Molecule: transfer RNA, 74 nt
Rfam family: tRNA
About the family: Transfer RNA (tRNA) molecules are approximately 80 nucleotides in length. Their secondary structure includes four short double-helical elements and three loops (D, anti-codon, and T loops).
GCGGGCGUUGCAUAGUGGCAAUGCCGUUGCCUUCCAAGCAGAAGUCCCGGGUUCGAUUCCCGGCGCCCGCACCA